GAUGAACGCUGGCGGCGUGCUUAACACAUGCAAGUCGAACGAAGCACUUUAACCUGAUUCUUCGGAUGAAGGUUUUUGUGACUGAGUGGCGGACGGGUGAGUAACGCGUGGGUAACCUGCCUCAUACAGGGGGAUAACAGUUAGAAAUGACUGCUAAUACCGCAUAAGACCACAGAGCCGCAUGGCUCGGUGGGAAAAACUCCGGUGGUAUGAGAUGGACCCGCGUCUGAUUAGGUAGUUGGUGGGGUAACGGCCUACCAGGCCAACGAUCAGUAGCCGACCUGAGAGGGUGACCGGCCACAUUGGGACUGAGACACGGCCCAAACUCCUACGGGAGGCAGCAGUGGGGAAUAUUGCACAAUGGGGGAAACCCUGAUGCAGCGACGCCGCGUGAGCGAAGAAGUAUUUCGGUAUGUAAAGCUCUAUCAGCAGGGAAGAAAAUGACGGUACCUGACUAAGAAGCACCGGCUAAAUACGUG
Molecule: ribosomal RNA, 479 nt
Filed under: uncultured bacterium
Lineage: Bacteria
Description: partial 16S ribosomal RNA
Rfam family: Bacterial small subunit ribosomal RNA
Source: RNAcentral